GUUAUUGCACACGCGCACUUCACGGAGUAGGCGUUCUCAAACUGAAAUAUGCAGAUAUAUGCUAGAACAGGCCAAUAGGAACCCGUGCUUGGUUCUGCCCACUAUGGCUCAUUUGUUUCCAUUGGAAACGGCAGGCUGUGGUCUAUCUGGGUUUAGUUAUAACAAAUCUUUGACCACACAAUACGUUAUCAUAUCCGGUUAAAUAUGUAUCUCUUUUGGCGGGAACUGUACAGUAGUCCACAGUUGGCUGUCUAGUAGGUACUGAAUAUCUUCCGUUUGGUUGAGCUAAAAUCAUUGCACUUUUUCGUCAAGUGAAAAUGUCUCGUGUGCUGAACUGCAUUGUGGCUGUUUGUCCUGAUAUGGGGAUUGGAAAUAACGGGAAUCUACCUUGGCACCCGAAGAGACUCAAUAAUGAAUUUAAGUAUUUCCAGAAGAUGACAAUGACGUCUUCGGUGGAAGGUAACAGUCAGUUUCCAAACAUUUCACAUUUGACGACAUGUUAUUUAUUUUAGCAGAUGGUCUUGUCCAGAGUGACUUCCAGUUAGUGCAUUCAUCUUCAGAUACCGUAGCUAUGUGGGUGGGACUACCACAUAUCAAAGGUAUAAAAAAUUAAUUUUUCGUCAAUAAAGUAGCUUUAUCGGUAGAGUCAGAGCUGGGUAUGUGCGGUGAGUGCUGGUUCAGGUUAUUACAUAUUAUUAUUUGUAUUUUUUACCAAUGCGGUGUAAAUCACAUGAGCUUAAUCCAAACACGGAUACAGACAUUGGCUGAUUCAGUUGUAAACACCGUGACAGUUGUCAACAUUAAACUGUAUUAUUAAUGGCCACUAGGUGACAGUAUAGCACCAUGUGCAAAGUAUCAUGAGAGGAAAUAUUGUCUCGCAAAUAUUAUUUUAAAGGGACAUUCCGCCACUUUUUAACCUCGUAUUCAUCAUCUCCAGCACCAACCCGUUUCUAUGAUCGGUGGUUAAAAACAUAAGAAGAAAGGUCCUUU
Molecule: long non-coding RNA, 990 nt
Organism: Oncorhynchus kisutch (coho salmon)
Lineage: Eukaryota; Metazoa; Chordata; Actinopteri; Salmoniformes; Salmonidae
Exons: 2
Source: RefSeq, a predicted model, not a curated record